UACAAACAACUAAACGGCAAGCAAGCACAUGGCACAGUAGCUCACUACUGAGCAUGUGGCAGUGGCUGAAGCACAGGCGUGGCUGAAGUAGGAGAGAGAGGGUGUAUUGACAGGACACCGCUGCCCUUACCUUCAGAAGAGCUCCUAGUUCUGGAGGCAUAGCUGAGCAUCCCUACUGUGGUAGCGUGAGAAUGCUGUGGAGUCUCACCAAUGUGUUGCUGGCAAUGAAGUAACUUUAUAGAGUGCCUUUGACUGAAAUGGUCUUGUUCCUUCUUCAAGUUAAAAUGGCUUGAGGUACUCACUGAAAUCUGGCC
Molecule: long non-coding RNA, 314 nt
Organism: Gopherus evgoodei (Goodes thornscrub tortoise)
Lineage: Eukaryota; Metazoa; Chordata; Testudines; Testudinidae
Exons: 3
Source: RefSeq, a predicted model, not a curated record